UGCGUAGGCGGGCUAAUAAGUCAGUGGUGAAAUCUUCCGGCUCAACCGGGAAACUGCCGUUGAUACUGUUAGCCUUGAGUUAGGUUGAGGUAGGCGGAAUGUGUAAUGUAGCGGUGAAAUGCUUAGAUAUUACACAGAACACCAAUUGCGUAGGCAGCUUACUGGACCUACACUGACGCUGAGGCACGAAAGCGUGGGGAGCGAACAGGAUUAGAUACCCUGGUAGUCC
This 229-nucleotide ribosomal RNA is filed under the name uncultured bacterium. RNAcentral's name for it is "partial 16S ribosomal RNA". It matches the Rfam family "Bacterial small subunit ribosomal RNA", at positions 568 to 796 of the family's 1533-position model. The record is from RNAcentral.